UCAGACAGCACAGCCGCAGUGAUAUUCAGAUGAAAGGUCUUCUCUGUCCUGUCAUGAGAUGCAGAGAAACGAUUUCGAAACCUUGGUGGAAUGUCUGUCAUGAAUGACCAAGUUGUUAAAAUGACAAUAAAAAGAGUGCUUCGACUCACAAACGAGAGAGAGGAAAAUGAAUGAACGGCGACAAGGGAAGAGGAAGAAAGACCCGCAAGAUCGACCCGAUAUUGAUGGAUUAAGUAGGGGAGCAGGUGGACAAGAGUGUGGGAACAGAGCUG
Acipenser ruthenus (sterlet) is the source of this 272-nucleotide long non-coding RNA. RefSeq lists it as uncharacterized. The record is from RefSeq and is a predicted model, not a curated record. NCBI's taxonomy places the organism in Eukaryota, Metazoa, Chordata, Actinopteri, Acipenseriformes, Acipenseridae. The transcript has 2 exons.